GAUGAACGCUGGCGGCGUGCUUAACACAUGCAAGUCGAACGGAAAGGCUCCUGCUUGCAGGGGUACUCGAGUGGCGAACGGGUGAGUAACACGUGGGUGAUCUGCCCUGCACUUCGGGAUAAGCCUGGGAAACUGGGUCUAAUACCGGAUAGGACGAUGGUUUGGAUGCCAUUGUGGAAAGUUUUUUCGGUGUGGGAUGAGCUCGCGGCCUAUCAGCUUGUUGGUGGGGUAAUGGCCUACCAAGGCGUCGACGGGUAGCCGGCCUGAGAGGGUGUACGGCCACAUUGGGACUGAGAUACGGCCCAGACUCCUACGGGAGGCAGCAGUGGGGAAUAUUGCACAAUGGGCGCGAGCCUGAUGCAGCGACGCCGCGUGGGGGAUGACGGCCUUCGGGUUGUAAACUCCUUUCGCUAGGGACGAAGCGCAAGUGACGGUACCUGGAGAAGAAGCACCGGCUAACUACGUG
Molecule: ribosomal RNA, 466 nt
Filed under: uncultured bacterium
Lineage: Bacteria
Description: partial 16S ribosomal RNA
Rfam family: Bacterial small subunit ribosomal RNA
Source: RNAcentral